RNAcentral lists this transfer RNA (82 nucleotides) under Robinsoniella peoriensis. RNAcentral describes it as "tRNA-Leu". It matches the Rfam family "tRNA". Rfam says of the family: Transfer RNA (tRNA) molecules are approximately 80 nucleotides in length. Their secondary structure includes four short double-helical elements and three loops (D, anti-codon, and T loops). Further hydrogen bonds mediate the characteristic L-shaped molecular structure. tRNAs have two regions of fundamental functional importance: the anti-codon, which is responsible for specific mRNA codon recognition, and the 3' end, to which the tRNAs corresponding amino acid is attached (by aminoacyl-tRNA synthetases). tRNAs cope with the degeneracy of the genetic code in two manners: having more than one tRNA (with a specific anti-codon) for a particular amino acid; and 'wobble' base-pairing, i.e. permitting non-standard base-pairing at the 3rd anti-codon position. The record is from RNAcentral. Lineage: Bacteria; Bacillati; Bacillota; Clostridia; Lachnospirales; Lachnospiraceae. RNAcentral also lists the same sequence under 1 other name.
UGCGGAUAUGGCGGAAUUGGCAGACGCGCCAGAUUUAGGUUCUGGUGGGAGACCGUGCAGGUUCAAGUCCUGUUAUCCGCAG